CAUUAUCGAGUUCUGACUGGGUUGUAGCUGGCCUUCCGAGGCACGUGCACGCCCUGCUCAUCCACUCUACACCUGUGCACUUACUGUGGGUUUCAGAUCUGCAAAGCGUGCUCCUUGUCGCGCUUCAUGAAGCGCAUCUGUGCCUGCGUUUAUCACAAACUCUAUGAAAGUAUUAGAAUGUAAUAUUGGGAUAUAAUAGAUCUAUAUACAACUUUCAGCAACGGAUCUCUUGGCUCUCGCAUCGAUGAAGAACGCAGCGAAAUGCGAUAAGUAAUGUGAAUUGCAGAAUUCAGUGAAUCAUCGAAUCUUUGAACGCACCUUGCGCUCCUUGGUAUUCCGAGGAGUAUGCCUGUUUGAGUGUCAUGAAAUCUUCAACUUGCAACCCUUUGCGGGUUUGUAGGCUUGGACUUGGAGGCUUGUCGGCCCUUUGUCGGUCGGCUCCUCUUAAAUGCAUUAGCUUGAUUCCUUGCGGAUCGGCUCUCGGUGUGAUAAUGUCUACGCCGUGACCGUGAAGCGUUUGGCGAGCUUCCAACCGUCUUGCUUGAAGACAAGCUUUAUGACCUCUGACCUCAAAUCAGGUAGGACUACCCGCUGAACUUAAGCAUAUCAAUAAGCGGAGGA
Molecule: ribosomal RNA, 621 nt
Filed under: uncultured Ganoderma
Lineage: Eukaryota; Fungi; Basidiomycota; Agaricomycetes; Polyporales; Polyporaceae
Description: eukaryotic LSU rRNA
Rfam family: 5.8S ribosomal RNA (bases 210-363)
Source: RNAcentral